AGUUACUGUUGAUUAUGAGAAAAUGAUUAAGUUUCUGUUGAUUAUUAAAGAAUGGCGGUAGGUUUUUGGAGCUUGUAAAAAUUUUAUUCAGGAGAGGGUAUUUGAUGACAAUCCUGAUUUUUAUGUCCUUUAGAAUUGCCAUCAGCACAAAUCUCGUUGAAGAAUUCGACUCGGCCAUAUUAUUCAUUGUACAUUUGCUGUUCAAUUUGUAAUUUUGCUCAUUCCUUUUGUCUAGAGAUGUUAGCCUUGUUUUUGUUUUUUUAGAUUUUGGUUAUUUGUCAAUCUUAUUGAUGGGUUGUAAGAUUUACUUUUCUUUUGUUUAUGAACUCAAUAUUGACAAGGAAAAUAAAUUAGUUAGUUUUCUUAGGCAAUUUGUAGUUUGCCUUUUGUUUAAAUUAUUUCGGUUGGUAAUGCCAACCUGGUUAGUUACCAGUGCCACUGGUAAUGAAGCUAUUUUUUAAGCU
Long non-coding RNA from Coffea eugenioides, 464 nucleotides. RefSeq lists it as uncharacterized. The record is from RefSeq and is a predicted model, not a curated record. The transcript has 3 exons. NCBI's taxonomy places the organism in Eukaryota, Viridiplantae, Streptophyta, Magnoliopsida, Gentianales, Rubiaceae.